This 394-nucleotide ribosomal RNA is filed under the name uncultured bacterium. Its description in RNAcentral is "bacterial SSU rRNA". It matches the Rfam family "Bacterial small subunit ribosomal RNA", at positions 505 to 898 of the family's 1533-position model. The record is from RNAcentral.
GUGUCAGCAGCCGCGGUAAUACGUAGGUGGCAAGCGUUGUCCGGAAUUAUUGGGCGUAAAGCGCGCGCAGGCGGCUUCCUAAGUCCAUCUUAAAAGUGCGGGGCUUAACCCCGUGAUGGGAUGGAAACUGGGAAGCUGGAGUAUCGGAGAGGAAAGUGGAAUUCCUAGUGUAGCGGUGAAAUGCGUAGAGAUUAGGAAGAACACCGGUGGCGAAGGCGACUUUCUGGACGAAAACUGACGCUGAGGCGCGAAAGCGUGGGGAGCAAACAGGAUUAGAUACCCUGGUAGUCCACGCCGUAAACGAUGGAUACUAGGUGUAGGAGGUAUCGACCCCUUCUGUGCCGGAGUUAACGCAAUAAGUAUCCCGCCUGGGAAGUACGAUCGCAAGAUUAAA